Molecule: long non-coding RNA, 1744 nt
Organism: Mustela lutreola (European mink)
Lineage: Eukaryota; Metazoa; Chordata; Mammalia; Carnivora; Mustelidae
Exons: 3
Source: RefSeq, a predicted model, not a curated record
CCAAGAGCUCCCAGGUCUUUCUCUCACUCUUCCCUCCACCCAAAGCCUAGAGAGUUGAAAGGAAACUUGACAAAUGAAUAAGAUUGCCCCAAAGUACAUGCCAAGCACUUGUUCAAAGCAACAUAAUAAAGACUGCUUUCUCCUCUCUUAAAAUAAAACAGUUUGCUGUGAGGAGUAUAGCUAAGGUAGCUUUAAUCCUACUCAAGACAUCACAGCUGGCUCCUUAACCCUCCCAGAGAUGAGAUCUGCUUCAUUUUGGAGGCGUUCACACUUAUUUCAUCAAUCAAAAGACAACCCACCCCUCUGUGCUAUGUCGGGGCUGGUUUUACAGGGAUGAUUCCUUCACCUGUAAGCGUUCUCACCCUCUUUCUGCCAACCCUUCUCCACUUCUUCAUCCAAUAAAGAAACUUGUGAUUUCACCAGCUUGUUUAUCUCCCUGUUUCUGCACCAUCGAGAGAAAAUCCAGUUUCCUUUUGUGAAGCCAAAUAGAAAACUCAACAGAACAUAUAGACAAGUUAAGGAAAAAAAAAAAAACACACAGAAGCGCUAAGUGUACAGAAGGAAGGGCUGGUGGAGGGGUGGAGAAGUCCCAGGAGUGACUGAUGAGGGAAAUUUGGUCUGGGGGAGGCUGCUGAGCAGAGGCAGGCAGCAGAAAAUUAGCCAGAAUAAGGGGGAAAUCCCCUUCUGGGCUGAGAAUCAGCUCCCCUGCAAUGUUUUUGCUAAGGUGCUGUCAAGAUUGGAAUUGUUCUAGUUAUUUUUGCUCAUCAGACAGCACUUUUUGGAAACUACUCCAGUAGCACUGGGCUGCACGGGGGCCCAGCCUUGGAUCUGAGUCUCUCCCCAGAGAGGUGACAGCACUGCGAACUCCUGAGUACUCUGAGCUCAUCUUCCCACACUGCCUCCCACAUAUCUCCUCUGUGGGCUGUGUCCUGUGCUCAGAAUUCCACCAGUGACGACUCUGAACAGAGGAAGGGCAGGCGCAAAGGGUAGGCUCACGGCCAACCCCCUUCUGCAAAUGUUUUCAUCAAAGCAAUGGUACCACCUGUGAAAAAUCUAGGCCAGCGCCUGACCAUAAGAGUGCUCCAUUGUGAGGCCCCGUCUUUUCAGGGCUGUAAGAGAAUGGGGACCUAGGAGAGCUGUGUUUCGAGUCUCGGCAAGGCCAUCCAGGACAGGGUGCCUCAAGGGAAGCCUCGAGAUUCCACAGCUAAAACAGGAAUGAGCCACUUUCAGUAAGUAUUGAGGGGAAGGGGAGAUGGAGCCCAGAGGAGAGAGGAGAGGGCGUUGGAGUAACCUCUGUCUUCUAAUGUCCCUGAGUCACCCUGCAGAGAAGAAAGAAAUGCAAUUUCUACAGGACAAAGGAGCUGAGUCUCUCCAGGCUCACACAUAAAAAUGGCGGUACGGGCAAAGUUGAGGAGAAUCAAAACGGCGUGCAAGUCUACACUUCAGUAAUUUGAGGCCGAACUGGAAGGCAGUACAUCAUAGAGGCUGAGAGCUUGGCUUUGGAGGCUGACAAACCAGAUUCGGAGGAAGUGGCAAAAAUGCGGAGUCCCACCUGCCCUCCAGCCAGCCUUCCCCGGUGGUGACAUCAUACACAACCAGAAUAUAAUAUCAAAACCAGGAAACCAGGGGCCCCUGAGUGACUCAGUCAGUUAAGCCUCCUACUCUUGGGUUCUGCUCAGGUCAUGAUCUCAGCAUCGUGAGAUCAAGCCGAGUCUGCUUAAGACACUCUCUUCCUCUGCCUCUA